UGCUCCCUCACUGCCAUCACCCGCUGUACUACGCAUGGUCCCAUCGUUACUCCGAAUUACUUUGCCUAAAUCGUUCGCUGGCUGCUUAUUAAGUCACAUGUGAAAUCCCUAGGCUCAUCCUAUGAACUGCAUUUGAAACUAAUAAACUAGAGUAUCGUAGAGGGAGGUAGAAUUCCAGGUGUAGCGUUGAAAUGCGUAGAUAUCUGGAGGAAUACCAGUGGCGAAGGCGACCUCCUGGACGAAAACUGACGCUCAAGCACGAAAGCAUGUGGAGCAAACAGGAUUAGAUACCUUGGUAGUC
This 301-nucleotide ribosomal RNA is filed under the name uncultured Methanomassiliicoccus sp. RNAcentral's name for it is "partial 16S ribosomal RNA". It matches the Rfam family "Bacterial small subunit ribosomal RNA", at positions 495 to 795 of the family's 1533-position model. The record is from RNAcentral. Lineage: Archaea; Methanobacteriati; Thermoplasmatota; Thermoplasmata; Methanomassiliicoccales; Methanomassiliicoccaceae.